This is a small nucleolar RNA of Artibeus jamaicensis (Jamaican fruit-eating bat), 131 nucleotides long. RefSeq annotates it as small nucleolar RNA SNORA68. The transcript has a single exon. The record is from RefSeq and is a predicted model, not a curated record. Lineage: Eukaryota; Metazoa; Chordata; Mammalia; Chiroptera; Phyllostomidae.
CAGGCACUGAAACCCAAGGAUUACCGUUUGUGGUAGCAGCAAUUCAAACAAACGUGCAACAGCAAACAGAUCUCUUCGCCUUUGGAGGCUGUGCCUUUGCCCCUCAAAGUGAAACGAGAGGUUCUACACCC